Molecule: long non-coding RNA, 506 nt
Filed under: Gopherus agassizii (Agassiz's desert tortoise)
Lineage: Eukaryota; Metazoa; Chordata; Testudines; Testudinidae
Description: lncRNA (ENSGAGG00000021086.1)
Source: RNAcentral
GUAAAGUGUGACUAUGUUGGCAAAGCCAUGAAAAACAAAAUAAUAAACAUGAACUCUCCUGAUGGCCCUUCUCAUGCUAUUUCUGUUCCAGGCAGCCCUUCUUUAAAUACUGCUACCAAUGUGGGCGGGCUAUAGGGAUUCGACUCACUCUUUGCACACGUUGUUACGAGAUCUUCACUUGCAGCAAGGCUUGUAAAGUCAAAGCCUGGAAUGAGCGUCACAAACGCGAGUGCUUAGGAGCUCCAGGUGAUUCAUCAUUAAUGGACUCUGAUCAAGACAACCUACAAUCUGAGGUUGAUGGAAAGCAUCAACUUAAGACUAAGUUGGGCAUUUCAAGAGAGAGGCAGAGUCCUGUUGGCAGAAAGGGAAGCGAGGGAAGAGAUGGAAGAGGCAGAAGAGAUGUCUUCAGGAAAGAUGACAAGAAGCCAAGUCCAGGCAGACAAUGUGCAGCGGCUGAUGACAUGCACCCAAAUCUUCCUUACACUGGGAAUUAUAGUUACAAUUAA